Molecule: long non-coding RNA, 223 nt
Filed under: Homo sapiens (human)
Lineage: Eukaryota; Metazoa; Chordata; Mammalia; Primates; Hominidae
Description: HSALNT0399900
Source: RNAcentral
GUGGAUCUCUCAUGAGCAGCUUGGUAUCCUCUUUGAGAAAACCAACCACCAGGACUCCCAGAUAGUAUCAAGAAACUGAAACUCACCAGAUCACUGCCUCUGGACCAUGAGAUGUCAGAUCCCUCACCUGUCACGAUUGCCUAACUGACCACCUGCUUCCUGUUGACCAUCUCCUCUUCCCUACCCUCCUUAGUUCUUGUUUUCCCAUACAUUGUUACAUUUC